Molecule: small RNA, 125 nt
Filed under: Marmota monax (woodchuck)
Lineage: Eukaryota; Metazoa; Chordata; Mammalia; Rodentia; Sciuridae
Source: RNAcentral
GCUGGGCAUGGUGGCGCACGCCUGUAAUCCCAACAACUCUGGAGGUUAUGGCAGGAGGAUCACGAGUUCAAAAUCAGCCUCAGCAAAAGCGAGGCACUAUGCAACUCAGUGAGACCCUGUCUCUA